GUUUUGAUGUUGUUGUUUUUCUGGGAAACUCCAAGUUAUCUUCAAUAAUUAUAAAUGUUACACUUCUUUACUCAUGAAGAUCGGUGCUAUUCUAAUUCUUAUACACACAAAAAAUAACACACUAAUGUUAAAAUAUCAAGGAUAAACUGCUAGCAAUUACAUGAAAUUAGCUAUUCAAAUGAAGUUUUAUUUUUGUCUUAAUAUGCUGUUCUGUGCACUUUACCUUAUUUGGCUUCUUUGCCUUGAAGCAGACACUUGAAUUUUGAGAAGGGAAAAGAAAUUGCUGUUGUUUUGUUGAAUGGAUAAGUACAUAUGCUUAAAUGCUGCCCAACGAAAAAACAACAAGAAUUGUUCAGUCUGACUAUAGUGACUGUACUUGGCUUCUUCCAGUCCUGUGGCAGUGAUUCUAUAUGGAAGUUCUCUUGAUUCCUAAGAGAACACUGAAUGUGAGUCUGCUGCUGUUCUCUUUGUUGUUUUUCUGUCACUAGUACUAAAAUGUAGAGGGUAAAUGUGAUGUGUUUAGCCUUGUAGUAAUCAGAGGUAGUAUUGUAAGGCAGAUUUCUCCAGAAUCGGAGAUCAACCUUUUGCUUUUACUUGCAAUGGGGCUUGUUUGCAUAAUUAUGGGGAAGUCAUCUGCUUCUGUAUUUGAAAACUUGUCCAUAGAAAGGAAAGUAGUUUGCCUCAUAUGUAAAUAUGAAUACUAGUAACAUGUCAGCAAAGAUUUGUCUUUCAAUUUGCAGGGUAUUAAGUAACAUGAAGGACUGGACUCUCUUAAAAUUGUAUCAGCAAGUUGAAAUUGGAGGAUUUCUGCAUUGGUAGACCUUAUUACUGAUUGGUCAACUACUUUCUUUUUAUUUAUUUACAGAUACAGAGGAAAGCCUCUUCCUUAUGAUCCCUUCCCAAUAUGAGGUAGUUAAUGAAUGUACAAGGAUAUCUGGGGAGGUUUUAUGUGUAAAGGUUUUACAGCAAUGUAGGAUCCUGGAAAACGUUAAGAUUUCCCAGUUACAUAAAAACAAGCUUUAGUCAAAUGACUUAAUAUAAGCAGUCUUUGUUCAAAACAAAGAUUUUCUUGAGUAUUUCUUUGUUAAUGAAAAUUUCUGAAUUCAGAUUGUCUCAAUAAAAUGUUUAGAAAAUUAAUAAUUUUUUUCAAAAAGCCAUCUAGAAAUAUCCUUAGUAAGCCAGCUGUUACUGACAUAAUGUAUGAUUAUGUAUGAUUGAAAUUAAAAAGGGUCUAUUUCAUCAAAAUAACAGAGAUGACAACAUUAGCAUAAGGAAUUACUCAUGUUUAGAAGCAUCUAAAUAUUUUUUUCGUAAAUAAACAGUUACUGAGUUCUUGACAUACUAAAGGAAAUCCACAGGAAUAAAAAUGGUAAUGUGGGCUUUUGCAUAAAAUGCUCGAGCGUUUUGUGAUACGCUGUCCAUGAUCAUUCACAUUUAUUUCAAGGAAGCUAAUUACAUACCAAGAGGUGUUAAAUAGCUUGAACUUUCUAUAAUUGCCAUGUCUUGCAUUUUGUCAGCCAACUGAAUUGACCAAAUUAACGAAAUUAAAAAUGUGCAUUCUUUAUCAAUUAGAUAGUGAGUGGAGACUUAAUACACUUCACUACUAAAGUCAGGAAAUUUUGUUGGAUAUUUCAAAACACGCUGGCAAUGUCUGCUUUCCUUUGUCUAGAAGUGCUUCUUUUUCUUUCUUGCCUCCUCCAAGCUUAAUUGCAUUUUGCUUCUACUAAUGAGGGGAACUGGUACAUAUUGGUUAAAUACUUUGCUAUUUCUUGGGUAACAUUUCUCACUUAGUAGUUUUGACUCUUUCUCUGCACGUUUUACCAUCUUUUAUGUAUUUGUAGCUGUUUGGAAUAUAGACCCUGCCUGGAAAUUUGUGUUCAUGAUUUUUUUUCAAUGAAAUUAUUGUUCAGAAAUUCUUUAAUUUUUUGUUGUUGUUGUUGUGAACUCCCUGAAUGCUAGACUUCACCAGUGACUAUAUAUAAUAUGAAUAUAAGCAGUCAAGAGUGUACUGUGGUUGCUCUAUUGUAUUUUUUCCCCACCUAUUUGUGCUUAGCAUUGUUGGAGACAAGAUACUGGCCUAGGUGAUCCUGUAGCCUACCCCUAACACAGUGACACUUUUUCUUCCACUGUUACAUUCGAUGUAAGCUUCUCUAUGCACUAAAAAUUAAACUGGUAAUUUUGGAAGCCUCUGAAGUAAAUUGUAAAGUUUUUUUUUUUUUUUUUUUAAUCUAAGUGUGCAUAGUUCUCAUCUUCUUAAGCCCUGGAAUUGAUGCUAAGAUUAAAUCUUUUUUUCUUGCUCUUGUAAUAAAGUGAAUUUCUUGUACAUUAGCACUCUACAGUUUAUUGGGAUCAUGGGAAAGGAGAACUGAAGUUGUAGAUGAUUCUAUUAAGAGUAAUAGCCAAACAUAAAUAUUUGAGGAAUUUCUUAGUAACGGACAAUGAAUGUAUUUUCCUUGUGAAAUGCCAAUCUCAAAUUCACAACAGGAGACAAGAUCAUAACUGUGGGGUGGAUUUUCAGUAGUAGCUGCCAAGAUGUAAGAGACGCUGUGAAAGCAGAUUGUUAGCUAUUAAAUACAUUACUGGGAUGAUAAGAAUUUCAAGUGAUAAGGAAGAGGUACUUUCAUUUUUAAUACCUUUGCAGGAGAGAAGCACUGAAAUGAAUGUCAGAAACGUCUCAGCUUGUUCAUCUAAUGCCUGUAGUCAGGUCUGAGAGAACCAAUGCUUAUUUUAAGUUUAUCUGUUAAACUGAUUAAAAUGUAUCUUUUGAUAGCCUUUUUUGUUUGUUUGUUUGUUUUUCUUUUUGAUAGCUCAGUUGAAAAAUAGGAUAGGGAAAGAUUACUGCACCAAUCACCAAAAUCAAGAAACUGACUCUGCUUAAGCUACUAUUUUCUCAUGCUGAAGGGUUCAGUGGUAUUCUGUUCCCAGUACAGUGAUGCUUCAAAAUGUAGGGAGUCCAUGUUCAUGCACAGGCAGUGUUUUAGGAAGCCAGGCUUGAUUUGGAAAAGGUGACCGGAGAGCUAAGAUGGGUACAGAGUUCCUUGUGUGAUAGCACACUUGUUCCUUAGUUUGGGCUCCACUAAUGCUGUCUGCUAGCAGGUCUGCUGUAUGUCUAGAAGUCAUCAGGAGUGCUGUUUGGCAGAGUCCACAGGUAGUAUCCUCUAAAGUAUCAGUUCUUUUUCGAGAUAGGAGUAAGAAGUAGUGUUCGAGAUCAGAGUCCCUCUUUGGACAAUUUUUUUUUUUUUUUUUUGUAAUGACUUUGAAGAAAAAAUGUAGGAAUGUGGAAAUGUCAGGAGGCAUCACCAACAACUAAUAUUAUGUCAAAAUAUCAGGUAGAGGAGGAAAUAAUGAAUUUGAGAAGUCAGAUUAGAGUAAUGGCCUGAAACGAGCUUCUACAGACUGCAAGCUCAUACAUUUCAAAAGUAAUGAUGCUACAAGCUGAAAGUUGCUGAAAACAACAAAUGAGAGAAAUAAUUUGGGGUAGUAUAAACCUCUGAUGUGUAGUUGAUGUUGUUGCAUUUGGAAAGACAAGCCAAAUCCUGAUAGGUGUCUCUGCUCAAGGUAAGGAGUCAUUAAUGCUGUUUUAUGAGAGGUGAUGAGAUUGCACCUGCAAAACUACAUGUAAUUUUUGUCACCUUUGAGGAGUGGGCAAUACUUAACUUAGGAAAGCUGUUCUUUCUAAAUUGUGCCUUCCUACACAUUUUGCUAACUGUGAAAGCUAACAAACAAGUGAAAUUCACUGUUGGGCAUGUGAAUCAUACAAGCCUUGAAUCUCAUUUAUAUGCUCAGAAUAGGAUUGGCGGAGGACAGGCUCACUUUAAAGGAUUUCCAACUCAGUGAAGCACCAAAAAUCAUAGAAUUUAUGUUAACUUUAGAUGCAUUGCCAAUCUUACUACUUCUUGAGUCUUAAAAUCACUUCAAAAAAAAACAUCUAAGCUCUGUCUAGGAUUGUGCCUUUGCCUUGACAAGCAGACUCCUGGCUUAUGCACCAGAGAUUAUUCAAGUAAAGUGAGGAACUGCUGGGGACAAGGUCUUGCCCAGGUUCCUGGAACAGGUUUGGGGUCUUACUCAAUCUUCUCUUUGCUAUAUGGAGUUUUCCCUUGCUACAGCAAAAUUGCAUGGUCCUCAAUCAAGUUAAUAAGCAGAUUCUCAGAUUUCUGUAAGAUACAAGCCAGAUGAAGAAUUUUACAGUUAUAAGUAGAAUGGAAAUGGAAGGUUAAUGAAGACUUGCAAAAUUAAAAGAAAGAAGGAAGUGUAAAAGUUUUGGAUGGAAUAUGUAUUAUCAUGCUUUAGGAUCUAGAAUAGUAACAUAAAGCUCAGAAACUAACAGGUGCUACAGUAAUGGUGCCAGGACUAUACUUUCAGUUACUUGUCAGGGACACCAUGUGAACAAACUUUCACGUCACAUCUUUCUCUACUAGGAAGACAGAAACUUUAAAUACAGACUUUUAGGAUUCUUGUAUUUGAGUAGCCUCAUGAUCAUCAUCUCCUGGUAUUGUCUAAGGCCUGUAAGUAGCAUUCUAUAAUCAUGCUGCUUUUGCAUAUUUCUUUAUUUAAAAGCAAUGAAAACAAAAAACAAGCUUCAGUUAUGGAUGUGAAAAAUCAUGCAUGUUUAUGCAAUAAGAGUGUGGAAAUAUUUUUGAUUUUUGUAUUCUCUUGCAACUUCAGUGUGUAUCUUCCAAAGGAACCCCUUUUUCCUCCCCUAACUGUGGAUUUCCUUUCAGGGUCUAUAGUCUUCUAAGAAGCACAGAAUCGGAUGAGAAAUAGGAAAAGAUAGUGAAUCCUUAUUAAUUCAAACUAAGGGUAUUGUCUUCACCCUGUGAAAGAUUGCUACCAAAGAACAGUUUAUAGAAUUAAACAAUUCCCAAUGAGGUGAAAUAAUAGUUGGGGGCUCUUUAAGUGGUGGGCCACCACUUAAAGAGCCCCCAUCUGCUUAGCCCAUCUGCUCCUUGUCCUUGCAUCUGCAGCUGCUCUGGAGAAGAAAGCACUGUCCAAAUGCAAUGUGAGUACCUCUGGAGAAAAGUUAGAAGACCUAUGAAAAUACCGUCAAUUAUUUAAGCUUGCAACAAAACAUUUUUAACUGAUUUGUAUGAGAGAAAUAAAAACAAAUGCAAACCUCAAGCAUAGGACUGAAGGAGGCUUGAAGUCCAUCUUCAUUGAUGAAUAGGACAGUGGGAUUGAAUGCAACACUCAACAAGUUUGCUGACAAUGCCAAGGUGAGUGGUGUAGUUAAUAUACUGGAAAGAAGAGAUGCCAUCCAGAGGAACCUUGACAGAUUUCUGAGAUGGGACCAUAAAACAACAUGCAGUUCAACAAGGCCAUAUGCAAAGUCGUGCACAUGGGUAGGUGCAAUCCCAAGUGCAAAUAUGGGCUGGAUGAUCUUUGGACAGAGAAACCCUGAGGAGAAGGGCUUCUGGAACAGGGGGCCCAAAUGAAGAACACAAAAUCCACAAUUUCUAGAGAAGGAAAUAUUUAUUGGCACUUUUAUUUUAAUAGUCACUAUAAUACGCACCACAAUUCAUUGUUAUAAAUAUUUAUAAAUAUUCUGUGGGACUUUAGACCCAUUCAAAUAAAUAAAUAAAUAUUGCAAUAUUUUAAAAGUAAUGCUUUCUAACUAGCUGGUGAUGGCCAGCAUCUCCAUUGAAAAAAUAAUUCUUCUGACACUUUCGAUAAAGUUCCUUAUAGUUACAAAUGUGUUUUUGAUGCAAAAUUUACUGUGCAUUCACUCAACGCAUAAGGAUUAAAUCUCUGAGCAACAGUUCUUGCCUUCUUCUAAUGCACUGAUAUAGAGAUAGUAUAGAGUUUUAACCUUACAGAUUUUCGUCAUCAAAGUUUGAUAUGGAUUGAGACAGAACUUUUCAUGAUUCAGACUUCUGUAGAUCUGUUGACUUUGUGUCCUGGAGAACUAUGUGGAGCACAGAAAAAUUUAUGCUUGUGUAACUGCAGUAGAAAGUUCUCAAGGAGAGAAAGCCAACAACGGUAAAGGAAUUAAGUAAAAUUAUUAAACUAGAACAUAAAAUCAUGUCUUCCCACUGUAUAGGCAACAAGGUAAAAAAUCUUGUGGUAUUUUGAAUAAGCAAGAAAACACAUAACUAUUCCCCUGACCUGCAGUUCUCCAAUCCAUUAGAAUAACUUCUUUCCUUUAAAAACUAAUUAUAAACGUGACGAUAAUAAAUAAUUCGUGAGACAUAACACUUGAUCCAAUCCUAAUCCUGUAUGAAUUAAGAACUGCACUAUCUGGCAAAACCUUUGUAGCAGCAGAAUCAGGUAGUAUGUUAAUUCUAACAUAACUACUUGGAGGUUGUAUAUGAAAACAUAUUUUAUGCGUAUAUAUUUAUGUGUAUGUGUAGAUUAUUUAAAAUGCUGUCAGCAAGAUAGACCCUGCAGAAAAUCUUGAACAGUUUCCAUGAAAACAACACAGUGGGCCUUACUUUUGGUAUUGUAACACUAUUCCAACUUCAGUGGCUUCAGUGAAUUACUUCACUAAAUAGUAGAAAGAGGAAGACUAGAAUCUAGCCUGACAUCUGAUGUGCUAUUUCUAUGAAAUAGGUCGGAUGAAACAUCAUUUUCAGACUGCUGUCAGGCUGUUAGAUAUGCUAAGUAAAUAAAAUGGAAGAAUGUGCACCUUGAAAGAAAGUGCA
This 6638-nucleotide long non-coding RNA is filed under the name Gallus gallus (chicken). The record is from RNAcentral. Lineage: Eukaryota; Metazoa; Chordata; Aves; Galliformes; Phasianidae.